This 1074-nucleotide ribosomal RNA is filed under the name uncultured bacterium. Its description in RNAcentral is "bacterial SSU rRNA". It matches the Rfam family "Bacterial small subunit ribosomal RNA", at positions 61 to 1136 of the family's 1533-position model. The record is from RNAcentral.
GUCGAGGGGUAACAGAAAAGCUUGCUUUUGCUGACGACCGGCGCACGGGUGCGUAACGCGUAUGCAACCUACCUCAUACUGGAGGAUAGCCCCUGGAAACGGGGAUUAAUACUCCAUAGUAUCACAAUUUCGCAUGUUAUUGUGAUUAAAGUUUUUCGGUAUGAGAUGGGCAUGCGUCCCAUUAGCUUGUUGGUGAGGUAACGGCUCACCAAGGCAACGAUGGGUAGGGGGCCUGAGAGGGUGGUCCCCCACACUGGUACUGAGACACGGACCAGACUCCUACGGGAGGCAGCAGUGAGGAAUAUUGGUCAAUGGAGGAAACUCUGAACCAGCCAUGCCGCGUGAAGGAUGACGGCCCUAUGGGUUGUAAACUUCUUUUAUAGAGGAAGAAACUUGUCUACGUGUAGACAACUGACGGUACUCUACGAAUAAGGAUCGGCUAACUCCGUGCCAGCAGCCGCGGUAAUACGGAGGAUCCAAGCGUUAUCCGGAUUCAUUGGGUUUAAAGGGUCCGUAGGCGGAUUUUUAAGUCAGUGGUGAAAGCCGACAGCUCAACUGUCGAACUGCCAUUGAUACUGGAAAUCUUGAGUACAAAUGAAGUAGGCGGAAUGAGUCAUGUAGCGGUGAAAUGCAUAGAUAUGACUCAGAACACCGAUUGCGAAGGCAGCUUACUAACAUGUAACUGACGCUGAGGGACGAAAGCGUGGGGAGCGAACAGGAUUAGAUACCCUGGUAGUCCACGCCGUAAACGAUCAUCACUCGCUGUUGGCGAUAUACUGUCAGCGGCCAAGCGAAAGUAUUAAGUGAUGCACCUGGGGAGUACGCCGGCAACGGUGAAACUCAAAGGAAUUGACGGGGGCCCGCACAAGCGGUGGAGCAUGUGGUUUAAUUCGAUGAUACGCGAGGAACCUUACCAGGGCUUAAAUGUAGUAUGACCGGCUUGGAAACAGGCCUUCUCUUCGGAGCAGAUUACAAGGUGCUGCAUGGUUGUCGUCAGCUCGUGCCGUGAGGUGUUAGGUUAAGUCCUGCAACGAGCGCAACCCCUAUUCUUAGUUGCCAGCGGUUCGGCCGGGG